UACGGGAGGCAGCAGUGGGGAAUAUUGCACAAUGGGCGCAAGCCUGAUGCAGCCAUGCCGCGUGUAUGAAGAAGGCCUUCGGGUUGUAAAGUACUUUCAGUCGUGAGGAAGGUGUUAAGGUUAAUAACCUUAGCAAUUGACGUUAGCGACAGAAGAAGCACCGGCUAACUCCGUGCCAGCAGCCGCGGUAAUACGGAGGGUGCGAGCGUUAAUCGGAAUUACUGGGCGUAAAGGGCACGCAGGCGGUUAAUUAGCUGGAUGUGAAAUCCCCGGGCUUAACCUGGGAAUGGCAUUCAAGACUGGUUAGCUAGAGUCUUGUAGAGGGGGUGAAUUCCAUGUGUAGCGGUGAAAUGCGUAGAGAUGUGGAGGAAUACCGGUGGCGAAGGCGGCCCCUGGACAAAGACUGACGCUCAUGUGCGAAAGGCGUGGGGAGCGAAACAGGGAUUAGAUACC
RNAcentral lists this ribosomal RNA (453 nucleotides) under uncultured bacterium. RNAcentral describes it as "bacterial SSU rRNA". It matches the Rfam family "Bacterial small subunit ribosomal RNA", at positions 340 to 786 of the family's 1533-position model. The record is from RNAcentral.